This 492-nucleotide ribosomal RNA is filed under the name uncultured bacterium. RNAcentral's name for it is "partial 16S ribosomal RNA". It matches the Rfam family "Bacterial small subunit ribosomal RNA", at positions 29 to 507 of the family's 1533-position model. The record is from RNAcentral.
AGUGAACGCUGGCGGUAGGCCUAACACAUGCAAGUCGAACGGCAGCACAGUAAGAGCUUGCUCUUACGGGUGGCGAGUGGCGGACGGGUGAGGAAUACAUCGGAAUCUACUUUUUCGUGGGGGAUAACGUAGGGAAACUUACGCUAUUACCGCAUACGACCUACGGGUGAAAGCAGGGGAUCUUCGGACCUUGCGCGAUUGAAUGAGCCGAUGUCGGAUUAGCUAGUUGGCGGGGUAAAGGCCCACCAAGGCGACGAUCCGUAGCUGGUCUGAGAGGAUGAUCAGCCACACGGGAACUGAGACACGGUCCAGACUCCUACGGGAGGCAGCAGUGGGGAAUAUUGGACAAUGGGCGCAAGCCUGAUCCAGCCAGACCGCGUGGGUGAAGAAGGCCUUCGGGUUGUAAAGCCCUUUUGUUGGGAAAGAAAAGCAGCAGGUUAAUACCCCGCUGUUCUGACGGUACCCAAAGAAUAAGCACCGGCUAACUUCGUG